Molecule: ribosomal RNA, 641 nt
Filed under: uncultured Alphaproteobacteria bacterium
Lineage: Bacteria; Pseudomonadati; Pseudomonadota; Alphaproteobacteria
Description: bacterial SSU rRNA
Rfam family: Bacterial small subunit ribosomal RNA
Source: RNAcentral
AGAACGUACGCUGGCGGCACGCCUAACACAUGCAAGUCGAACGAAGUAGCAAUACUUAGUGGCAGACGGGUGAGUAACAUGUAGGUAUCUGCCCUUUGGCCUGGAAUAACACGAGGAAACUUGUGCUAAUACUGGAUAAGUCUUUACGGAGAAAGCUUUAUGCACCAUUGGAUGAGCCUGCACUUGAUUAGUUAGUUGGUAGGGUAAAAGCCUACCAAGACUUUGAUCAAUAGCUGAUUUGAGAGGAUGAUCAGCCACAUUGGGACUGAGACACGGCCCAAACUCCUACGGGAGGCAGCAGUGGGGAAUCUUGCACAAUGGAGGAAACUCUGAUGCAGCGAUGCCGCGUGAGUGAAGAAGGCCCUUGGGUUGUAAAGCUCUUUCGUCGGGGAAGAAAAUGACUGUACCCGAAUAAGAAGGUCCGGCUAACUUCGUGCCAGCAGCCGCGGUAAUACGAAGGGACCUAGCGUAGUUCGGAAUUACUGGGCUUAAAGAGUUCGUAGGUGGUUGAAAAAGUUGGUGGUGAAAUCCCAGAGCUUAACUCUGGAACUGCCAUCAAAACUUUUCAGCUAGAGUUUGAUAGAGGAAAGCAGAAUUUCUAGUGUAGAGGUGAAAUUCGUAGAUACUAGAAAGAAUACCAA